RNAcentral lists this ribosomal RNA (861 nucleotides) under Sparassis sp. TENN50289/ss31. RNAcentral's name for it is "eukaryotic LSU rRNA". It matches the Rfam family "Eukaryotic large subunit ribosomal RNA", at positions 72 to 919 of the family's 3401-position model. The record is from RNAcentral. Lineage: Eukaryota; Fungi; Basidiomycota; Agaricomycetes; Polyporales; Sparassidaceae.
GGAUUCCCCUAGUAACUGCGAGUGAAGCGGGAAGAGCUCAAAUUUAAAAUCUGGCGGUCUCAGGCCGUCCGAGUUGUAGUCUGGAGAAGUGCUUUCCGCGCUGGACCGUGUACAAGUCUCUUGGAACAGAGCGUCAUAGAGGGUGAGAAUCCCGUCUUUGACACGGACUACCAGUGCUUUGUGAUGCGCUCUCGAAGAGUCGAGUUGUUUGGGAAUGCAGCUCAAAAUGGGUGGUAAAUUCCAUCUAAAGCUAAAUAUUGGCGAGAGACCGAUAGCGAACAAGUACCGUGAGGGAAAGAUGAAAAGCACUUUGGAAAGAGAGUUAAACAGUACGUGAAAUUGCUGAAAGGGAAACGCUUGAAGUCAGUCGCGUCGUCCGGAACUCAGCCUCGCUUUCGCUUGGUGCAUUUUCCGGUCGACGGGCCAGCAUCGAUUUCGACUGUCGGAUAAAGGCUGAGGGAAUGUGGCACCUUCGGGUGUGUUAUAGCCUCCAGUCACAUACGACGGUUGGGAUCGAGGAACUCAGCACGCCUUUAUGGUCGGGGUUCGCCCACGUUACGUGCUUAGGAUGCUGGCGUAAUGGCUUUAAACGACCCGUCUUGAAACACGGACCAAGGAGUCUAACAUGCCCGCGAGUGUUUGGGUGGUAAACCCGAGCGCGUAAUGAAAGUGAAAGUUGAGACUCCUGUCGUGGGAGCAUCGACGCCCGGACCUGACCUUCUGUGACGGCUCCGCGGUAGAGCGUGUAUGUUGGGACCCGAAAGAUGGUGAACUAUGCCUGAAUAGGGUGAAGCCAGAGGAAACUCUGGUGGAGGCUCGUAGCGAUUCUGACGUGCAAAUCGAUCGUCAAAUUUGGGUAUA